GCGGGCGUAGCAAUACGUCAGCGGCAGACGGGUGAGUAACGCGUGGGAACGUACCUUUUGGUUCGGAACAACACAGGGAAACUUGUGCUAAUACCGGAUAAGCCCUUACGGGGAAAGAUUUAUUGCCGAAAGAUCGGCCCGCGUCUGAUUAGCUUGUUGGUGAGGUAACGGCUCACCAAGGCGACGAUCAGUAGCUGGUCUGAGAGGAUGAUCAGCCACAUUGGGACUGAGACACGGCCCAAACUCCUACGGGAGGCAGCAGUGGGGAAUAUUGGACAAUGGGCGCAAGCCUGAUCCAGCCAUGCCGCGUGAGUGAUGAAGGCCCUAGGG
Molecule: ribosomal RNA, 330 nt
Filed under: uncultured bacterium
Lineage: Bacteria
Description: bacterial SSU rRNA
Rfam family: Bacterial small subunit ribosomal RNA
Source: RNAcentral